UAGGGAAUCUUCCGCAAUGGACGCAAGUCUGACGGAGCAACGCCGCGUGAGUGAAGAAGGACUUCGGUUCGUAAAACUCUGUUGUUAGAGAAGAACAGCGCAUAGAGUAACUGUUAUGCGUGUGACGGUAUCUAACCAGAAAGCCACGGCUAACUACGUGCCAGCAGCCGCGGUAAUACGUAGGUGGCAAGCGUUGUCCGGAUUUAUUGGGCGUAAAGCGAGCGCAGGCGGUCAAUUAAGUCUGAUGUGAAAGCCCCCGGCUCAACCGGGGAGGGUCAUUGGAAACUGGUUGACUUGAGUGCAGAAGAGGAGAGUGGAAUUCCAUGUGUAGCGGUGAAAUGAGUAGAUAUAUGGAGGAACACCAGUGGCGAAGGCGACUCUCUGGUCUGUAACUGACGCUGAGGCUCGAAAGCGUGGGUAGCAAACAGG
RNAcentral lists this ribosomal RNA (429 nucleotides) under Bacteroidota bacterium. Its description in RNAcentral is "Bacteroidetes bacterium partial 16S ribosomal RNA". It matches the Rfam family "Bacterial small subunit ribosomal RNA", at positions 355 to 776 of the family's 1533-position model. Lineage: Bacteria; Pseudomonadati; Bacteroidota. The record is from RNAcentral.